GGUACUUGUACCGACUGGAUGAGCAGCGAACGGGUGAGUAACGCGUGGGGAAUCUGCCUUUGAGCGGGGGACAACAUUUGGAAACGAAUGCUAAUACCGCAUAAAAACUUUAAACACAAGUUUUAAGUUUGAAAGAUGCAAUUGCAUCACUCAAAGAUGAUCCCGCGUUGUAUUAGCUAGUUGGUGAGGUAAAGGCUCACCAAGGCGAUGAUACAUAGCCGACCUGAGAGGGUGAUCGGCCACAUUGGGACUGAGACACGGCCCAAACUCCUACGGGAGGCAGCAGUAGGGAAUCUUCGGCAAUGGACGAAAGUCUGACCGAGCAACGCCGCGUGAGUGAAGAAGGUUUUCGGAUCGUAAAACUCUGUUGGUAGAGAAGAACGUUGGUGAGAGUGGAAAGCUCAUCAAGUGACGGUAACUACCCAGAAAGGGACGGCUAACUACGUGCCAGCAGCCGCGGUAAUACGUAGGUCCCGAGCGUUGUCCGGAUUUAUUGGGCGUAAAGCGAGCGCAGGUGGUUUAUUAAGUCUGGUGUAAAAGGCAGUGGCUCAACCAUUGUAUGCAUUGGAAACUGGUAGACUUGAGUGCAGGAGAGGAGAGUGG
RNAcentral lists this ribosomal RNA (603 nucleotides) under Lactococcus lactis. RNAcentral describes it as "bacterial SSU rRNA". It matches the Rfam family "Bacterial small subunit ribosomal RNA", at positions 75 to 664 of the family's 1533-position model. Lineage: Bacteria; Bacillati; Bacillota; Bacilli; Lactobacillales; Streptococcaceae. The record is from RNAcentral.